Molecule: ribosomal RNA, 344 nt
Filed under: uncultured Verrucomicrobiota bacterium
Lineage: Bacteria; Pseudomonadati; Verrucomicrobiota
Description: bacterial SSU rRNA
Rfam family: Bacterial small subunit ribosomal RNA
Source: RNAcentral
AACGAACGCUGGCGGCGUGGAUAAGACAUGCAAGUCGAGCGCUGAUUACGGGGUAGCAAUAUUCCGUAGUUGGAGCGGCGCAAGGGUGCGUAACACGUGGGUAAUCUGCCAUGAAGUCUGGAAUAACUUGCUGAAAGGCGAGCUAAUACCGGAUGUGAAAACUGGAAGGCAUCUUCUGGGUUUCAAAGCUGGGGACCGUAAGGCCUGGCGCUUCAUGAUGAGCCCGCGGCCUAUCAGCUAGUUGGUGAGGUAACGGCUCACCAAGGCUAUGACGGGUAGCUGGUCUGAGAGGACGACCAGCCUCACUGGAACUGAGACACGGUCCAGACACCUACGGGUGGCUG